Molecule: long non-coding RNA, 333 nt
Organism: Oenanthe melanoleuca
Lineage: Eukaryota; Metazoa; Chordata; Aves; Passeriformes; Muscicapidae
Exons: 3
Source: RefSeq, a predicted model, not a curated record
GAGGAGAAUUAAGCUGUGAACUGGAAUUCCAGCAGGCUGUCUACUGUGAAGCCCCGUGGCUUUAGAAAAGGGGCAGUAGUGGUCAGAAAUGACACUCAAAAGCAAACAACAUGUAAUUAAUAGAACUCCAGUUCCUGUGAAAGAGAGAAGGUGCUUGUACUACACACAGCCACCUAAGAAAGUUUGCCCACUCAAUCACCAGCUAGAACUAAUGGGAAUCCAGACUGUCCUGCCCUGACCAGCCCAGCCCAGAUUUUAAGGAUAGGAGGAUGUGGGAAACAAACUGGGAUUCUCCAUGCUGAAAGUGUGUUGAGGCUGAAGUGCAUUGACCAG